AGUUUUAUUCUUGCUUAAAAGUUUAUUUUUUGGAUAUUUUACAUGUAAAUUUUUGUGAGUAAUUGUUGAUUCUCAAUGAUUUGUUAUUUAUUCGCAGUAUUUGAUAUUAAUAAUCAAAGUGAUUUGGAAUUAGUAAUUUAAAGUGUGAUUGGUUAAAGUCGUGCCAGCUACCGCGGUUAUACGUAAGAUAGGAAUGAAUUUUAUUAGUUGGGAAUUAGUUUAUUGAUUAUUAAGAUGUUUAGAAAUUUAGUGGGUAGAAUUUGUUAAAUUUGUUUACAUUUUAUAUUUAAGGGAUGAAGUUUUGAAAAUUGAAUUUUAAACUAGGAUUAGAUACCCUAUUAUUUUAAUUGUUAAAUUUAAGACUUGAGUAGUAUUAGUUAAGUGCUUGAAACUCAAAGAAUUUGGCGGUGUUUUAGUCUUUUCAGAGGAAUCUGUUCUUUAAUUGAUAUUACACAUUAUAUUCAACUUAAUUUUGUAAAAUCAGCUUGUAUACCGCCGUUAUAAGAUUAUCUUUUUAGAGAUAAAAUUUUCUUAAGAUUUUAAGAUAGUAUUUCAGGUCAAGGUGCAGUUAAUAAUUAAGGGUGAAAUGGAUUACAAUAAAGUUAUUUAAAUGGAGUUUCUAUUGAAAAAUGGGAAUGAAGGUGGAUUUGAAUGUAAUUUUGUUAUAUUAUGGUGAAAUGAUUUAAGCUCUAGAACAUGUACACAUCGCCCGUCACUCUCAUUAUUAAGGUGAGAUAAGUCGUAACAUAGUAGUUGUACUGGAAAGUGUAGCUAGGAAGU
Molecule: non-coding RNA, 780 nt
Filed under: Kuwayamaea chinensis
Lineage: Eukaryota; Metazoa; Arthropoda; Insecta; Orthoptera; Tettigoniidae
Description: 12S ribosomal RNA
Rfam family: Microsporidia small subunit ribosomal RNA (bases 366-774)
Source: RNAcentral